AGAGUUUGAUCCUGGCUCAGAUUGAACGCUGGCGGCAUGCUUUACACAUGCAAGUCGAACGGCAGCACGGACUUCGGUCUGGUGGCGAGUGGCGAACGGGUGAGUAAUACAUCGGAACGUACCCAGUAAUGGGGGAUAACUAGUCGAAAGAUUAGCUAAUACCGCAUACGCCCUACGGGGGAAAGAGGGGGAUCGCAAGACCUCUUGUUAUUGGAGCGGCCGAUGGCUGAUUAGCUAGUUGGUGGGGUAAAGGCCUACCAAGGCGACGAUCAGUAGCGGGUCUUAGAGGACGAUCCGCCACACUGGAACUGAGACACGGUCCAGACUCCUACGGGAGGCAGCAGUGGGGAAUCUUGGACAAUGGGCGAAAGCCUGAUCCAGCAAUGCCGCGUGCGUGAAGAA
RNAcentral lists this ribosomal RNA (402 nucleotides) under uncultured bacterium. RNAcentral's name for it is "bacterial SSU rRNA". It matches the Rfam family "Bacterial small subunit ribosomal RNA", at positions 8 to 412 of the family's 1533-position model. The record is from RNAcentral.